This 73-nucleotide transfer RNA is filed under the name Ailuropoda melanoleuca (giant panda). It matches the Rfam family "tRNA". Rfam says of the family: Transfer RNA (tRNA) molecules are approximately 80 nucleotides in length. Their secondary structure includes four short double-helical elements and three loops (D, anti-codon, and T loops). Lineage: Eukaryota; Metazoa; Chordata; Mammalia; Carnivora; Ursidae. The record is from Rfam by way of RNAcentral.
GCCUGGGUGGCUCAGUUGGAAGAGCAUGCAACUCUUGAUUUCAGGGUUGUGAGUUCAAGCCCCACAUUGGGUG